GCUUGGUCCUUACCUUCCCAUCAAGUACUGCCACAACUUACACAUGCAAGUUUCCGCACCCCGGUGAGAACGCCCUCUUACUCCCUACGGACUCAGGAGCCGGUAUCAGGCACAAAACUUAGCCCAAGACACCUAGCCUUGCCACACCCACAACGGGUACUCAGCAGUGAUCAACAUUAAAAAUUAGCGCCAGCUAGAUUUAGUUAAGGCAAACAGGGCCGGCAAACCUGGUGCCAGCCGCCGCGGCUACACCAUGGGGCCCAAUUUGAUGAACAUCGGCGUAAAGCGUGAUUAAAGAAACCCUCCCGCUAGAGUUAAACUAUAACUGAGCUGUGAUAAGCCUGUCAUCCAGAAACCCUAAAACGAAAGUUACUCUUCCACGACCUACUUGAACUCACGACAGCUGGGGCACAAACUGGGAUUAGAUACCCCACUAUGCCCAGCCGUAAACCUUUUACUUACAACUGUAUC
This 471-nucleotide ribosomal RNA is filed under the name Geocrinia victoriana (Victoria ground froglet). RNAcentral's name for it is "partial 12S ribosomal RNA". The record is from RNAcentral. Lineage: Eukaryota; Metazoa; Chordata; Amphibia; Anura; Myobatrachidae.